GGAAAGAGCAAAAGACCGAAAAGAAAGACUCAAACAGGCAAAAGAGACAUAGUUAGACAUUGGAUGGCUAGUGGUACAAGUACGUUUACCUUUGCGUAUAGCGAUAGGUAAGUCAUCUGUGUUGGCAGGUUGGUCAUCCUCAGAAUCUGCAGAAGAAGAUAACUCGGGUGGAGAACAUGAGGCCGGUUCAACAACAGUCUCUGGAACUGGUGCGGGACGAGGACGACGGGUAUACACUUGUAAGGGUUGAGUAGGAGGAGAAACUAUCGCCGGUAUAGGCAAAGGAGCAGAGUGUAACUUAUUUUGAGAAGUAGUGCUAGUAUGAGGAAAAAAGGAAGAGAUUCAAAGAAGGUGACAUCGGCACAGACAUAGUGACGUUUGGUAAGAGGGUCAAGACAUCUAUACCCUUUCUGUGUUCUAGAAUACCCGAGAAAAACACACUUAAUAGAACGAGGAGAUAACUUAUCUAAGCAAUGUUUUAGUUACCCUAAGUUUCACAUUUGAACAAUUUUGUCCCUUUUAACUUAAUUUGGAGGUGGAAUUAAUUGU
RNAcentral lists this long non-coding RNA (549 nucleotides) under Salvia miltiorrhiza (redroot sage). RNAcentral's name for it is "long non-coding RNA (SMIL_LNC009643)". The record is from RNAcentral. Lineage: Eukaryota; Viridiplantae; Streptophyta; Magnoliopsida; Lamiales; Lamiaceae.